Non-coding RNA from Pelobates cultripes (western spadefoot toad), 268 nucleotides. The record is from the annotation of a GenBank genome assembly. NCBI's taxonomy places the organism in Eukaryota, Metazoa, Chordata, Amphibia, Anura, Pelobatidae.
CCAGAGUGACGCAUGAGUUGAAUAGGAAACAAAGUAACAGAGCAGUGAUGGGAAUUAAUGGGAAGACUGUGUCGUUAAAAUGACCUUUCAUCAAACAUUCUCUUCCGAUUGUGCUGUGCACCCAUGAAAAUACCAAUAUUUUGUGUUUAGCAGCUUUUUGGAGUAAACGUAACUAAAUAUUGUUUCAUAGACAUUCAUCGUCAUGGUGAAUUUUUCAAGGUGAAAUCAUGUCUGCAAGGGAAUCAGACUCCUUAUCAUUCAUAUAGCU